This 74-nucleotide transfer RNA is filed under the name Acholeplasmataceae bacterium. RNAcentral describes it as "tRNA-Gln". It matches the Rfam family "tRNA". From Rfam's summary of the family: Transfer RNA (tRNA) molecules are approximately 80 nucleotides in length. Their secondary structure includes four short double-helical elements and three loops (D, anti-codon, and T loops). Further hydrogen bonds mediate the characteristic L-shaped molecular structure. tRNAs have two regions of fundamental functional importance: the anti-codon, which is responsible for specific mRNA codon recognition, and the 3' end, to which the tRNAs corresponding amino acid is attached (by aminoacyl-tRNA synthetases). tRNAs cope with the degeneracy of the genetic code in two manners: having more than one tRNA (with a specific anti-codon) for a particular amino acid; and 'wobble' base-pairing, i.e. permitting non-standard base-pairing at the 3rd anti-codon position. The record is from RNAcentral. Lineage: Bacteria; Bacillati; Mycoplasmatota; Mollicutes; Acholeplasmatales; Acholeplasmataceae.
AGGGCUAUAGCCAAGCGGUAAGGCAACGGACUUUGACUCCGUGAUCGAUUGUUCGAAUCAAUCUAGCCCUGCCA